UUUCCGUAGGUGAACCUGCGGAAGGAUCAUUAGUGAAUUGAAUAUGUUAGCGGACCUCUUCGGAGUCCCUAGCAUCAAAUCAUAUCCAUAACACCUGUGAACUGUAAGGCUGUCUUGACAACGAAAGUGAUUAGAGCGCCUGCCCAUUUUAUACAAACAUUAAAGUAACAAACGUAGUAUUAUUAUAAUCUAAUAAAACUUUCAACAACGGAUCUCUUGGCUCUC
This 225-nucleotide unclassified non-coding RNA is filed under the name plant metagenome. RNAcentral's name for it is "partial contains small subunit ribosomal RNA, internal transcribed spacer 1, and 5.8S ribosomal RNA". The record is from RNAcentral.